GGCGAGCGGAGGCGCAGGCUCGGAAAGGCGCGCGAGGCUCCAGGCUCCUUCCAGAUCCACAGCUCUCCUUGCU
This is a microRNA precursor of Cercocebus atys (sooty mangabey), 73 nucleotides long. NCBI's taxonomy places the organism in Eukaryota, Metazoa, Chordata, Mammalia, Primates, Cercopithecidae. The record is from Ensembl.